CGGUAAAUACGGAGGAUGCGAGCGUUAUCCGGAUUUAUUGGGUUUAAAGGGUGCGCAGGCGGUCUGUAAGUCAGCGGUCAAAGCCCGGGGCUCAACCCCGGCCCCGCCGUUGAAACUGGCAGUCUCGAGUUGGAGAGAAGUAUGCGGAAUGCGCGGUGUAGCGGUGAAAUGCAUAGAUAUCGCGCAGAACUCCGAUUGCGAAGGCAGCAUGCCGGCUCCACACUGACGCUGAGGCACGAAAGCGUGGGUAUCGAACAGGAUUAGAUACCCUGGUAGUCCACGCAGUAAACGAUGAAUGCUGGCUGUCCGGGGGGACUGACCCCUGGGUGGCGAAGCGAAAGCGAUAAGCAUUCCACCUGGGGAGUACGCCGGCAACGGUGAAACUCAAAGGAAUUGACGGGGGCCCGCACAAGCGGAGGAACAUGUGGUUUAAUUCGAUGAUACGCGAGGAACCUUACCCGGGCUCAAACGGGGAGUGGCGCAGGCAGAGACGCCUGUUUCCCACGGGACACUCCCCGAGGUGCUGCAUGGUUGUCGUCAGCUCGUGCCGUGAGGUGUCGGCUUAAGUGCCAUAACGAGCGCAACCCCCGCGUGCAGUUGCUAACAGUCAACGCUGAGGACUCUGCACGGACUGCCGGCGCAAGCCGCGAGGAAGGCGGGGAUGACGUCAAAUCAGCACGGCCCUUACGUCCGGGGCGACACACGUGUUACAAUGGGUGGUACAGCGGGAAGCCAGGCGGCGACGCCGAGCGGAACCCGAAAUGAAUCCACCACAGUGCGAGGAUGAUCA
Molecule: ribosomal RNA, 790 nt
Filed under: mouse gut metagenome
Description: bacterial SSU rRNA
Rfam family: Bacterial small subunit ribosomal RNA
Source: RNAcentral